Molecule: transfer RNA, 66 nt
Filed under: Telenomus dignus
Lineage: Eukaryota; Metazoa; Arthropoda; Insecta; Hymenoptera; Scelionidae
Description: tRNA-Trp
Source: RNAcentral
AAAACUUUAAGUUAAAAAAACUAUUAAUCUUCAAAAUUAAAAAUAUUAAAUUUUUAAUAAGUUUUU